RNAcentral lists this ribosomal RNA (478 nucleotides) under uncultured bacterium. RNAcentral describes it as "partial 16S ribosomal RNA". It matches the Rfam family "Bacterial small subunit ribosomal RNA", at positions 28 to 507 of the family's 1533-position model. The record is from RNAcentral.
GAUGAACGCUGGCGGCGUGCUUAACACAUGCAAGUCGAACGGGAAUUCUUGUAUUUUAACUUCGGUCGAUUUAAUUUAAUUCUAGUGGCGGACGGUUGAGUAACUCGUUGUUAACCUGCCUUAUACAGGGGGAUAACAGUCAGAAAUGGCAGCUAAUACCGCAUAACCUCACUGAGCUGCAUGGCACAGUUUGAAAAACUCCGGUGGUAUAAGAGGGACCCGCUUUGGUUUAUCUGGUUGUUGGGGUAACGGCACACGAAGGCGCGGAUCCAUAGCCGGCAUGAGAGGGUGAACGGCGACACUGGGACUAGGACACGGCCCAGAAUCCUACGGGAGGCAGCAGUGGGGAAUAGUGCACCAUGGGGGAAGCGCUGAUGCAGCGACGCCGCGUGAAGGAAGAAGUAUCUCGGUAUGUAAACUUCAAGCAGCAGGGAAGAUAGUGACGGUACCUGACUAAGAAGCCCCGGCUAACUACGUG